Meriones unguiculatus (Mongolian gerbil) is the source of this 368-nucleotide long non-coding RNA. RefSeq lists it as uncharacterized. Lineage: Eukaryota; Metazoa; Chordata; Mammalia; Rodentia; Muridae. The transcript is spliced from 3 exons. The record is from RefSeq and is a predicted model, not a curated record.
CUUCCAAGGGUACUUCUGAGACCUUCACCUCACGGACUCUUCCAUAAGCCUGCCUCCAUCAUGGCUUCCCCCAAGCAACAACUGCAAGGAGCCAAGGCUUUGGAUGCCUGGGUCUUUGAUGUGUCCUGUCCUUCAAGCUGUAAUAAAGUUGCUUUCCCGGCACAAGAGGCCUGAACUCUGCAGAAGAUGCUGUGUGAUGCUCAAAGCAGGACACGCCAGUCAUUUGGAUCUUCACAGAGCAGGAAGAAUGCACACAGUCCUACAUCUCUAAACAUCUUGAGAGUUUCAAAUACUUUUGGAAAACUACCAUUAGAGGUUCAGAGGCCUUCACAUUACAUUCACAUUCUGUUUCUGGUAGGUCUCAAGAG